RNAcentral lists this long non-coding RNA (4089 nucleotides) under Salvia miltiorrhiza (redroot sage). RNAcentral describes it as "long non-coding RNA (SMIL_LNC005816)". The record is from RNAcentral. Lineage: Eukaryota; Viridiplantae; Streptophyta; Magnoliopsida; Lamiales; Lamiaceae.
GAGUUCUUUUGCAAAUAUUUAAGCAAAAAAUGAAUGUCAAAUAUAUACCCGAAACCUAGAUUUAAGUUUUGAACGAUCCUUUACCUCAUUCUCCAUCUCCUCCAUGAGCUGGUUAGCAGUUUUUUUAAGAAAAUAAAGAGCACAAUCUUCAAAUAAUGUAAAGUAUGCUGCCUGCUCCAUGUCAUCAUCAUCAUCAUCAUCAUCUAUGAGUACCUUCAUCAAAUAUCUAAUAAUAACCGGAAAACAACAAAUUAAAAGAUAUUUUGUAAAUUUAUAUAGAUGUAACCUGGAAAAUGUAUAAAACAUAUAUAAUAUUAGACACAAAAAUAAUGGUAAAUAUGUAAAUAACCUUAUAUGGAUUUACCCGAUCGGACGCUUGCACUUUUUGCAUUGGUCUCCAACUUUACUUCCUUUUGCAAUACCUUUAUAGCACCUAUCAUUCCCACAUGCUUCAUAGAACCAUGAUUAUGUAGGAUGAAUGUCUCUAAUAGUCCCCUUGCAUAUAAAGGUACCAACCUAAAAAUUCAAAAAUAAAUAAAUAAAAUUAAAUUUUGGUGCUAUCAAUAAAAAAAAAUCCCAACCUUGAAUAAUCGCUAUGCUAUGUAUACCUCAUCCGAGUUAACCAUCUGCUUAAUGGUUCUCGCGAGAGAACCAUUCAACCAAUCCUCACUUUUAAAUUCUCCACCACUACUCGAAAUGUUUGUGAUAGAACAACUCAAUAGAUUUCCAGUCCCACGCCUUAAUAUAAUAGUAAUAUCAAUAAAGAAAUAUCAAAUUAAUAUAAAAAAAAUAAUUAAAACUAUAAACAAUUUGAAAGUAAGUAGUGUAUGUUCAAUUACAAACCUAAGAAUAAACUAUUUGACCUGUUGGAUUUCCGGACUGAUAAAGAACCGAGUUGCAUGCUUCAUUGUGGAAAUGAAGGUUUUCCCUAAAAUUAAAUACAAAAUUUGUGAAUAAUUUUGAUCAUCCUUUUUAUAUACUUAGAACAAUUAAUAAAUCUUAAACCUUGAAAGUUGAUAUCUUCGCAAAUUGCAAAGCCACGAGAACGGGCUCUUUGUCUUCAUUUUUCUUGGACUCCAUAAAAGAUUUAGUUCAUCAGCAAAAGACUCCCACAACACACAAGUUACUUGUGUUCCACUAAUGUCAACAUAGCAUAUAUAAGUGAAUCAAAAAGUUAGAUAAUGAUUACAUAUAUAUUUGACUGUACAAAAAAAAAAGGAGAGCAAGAACACCCUAACUGUUGUUCAUGUUCUAGAACAAAUUGCUCGAAUUCCCAUUAUAUAUUCUCAAAUUCCCAUACAAUAUUAUCCUCCAACUAAAACCAUGAUUUUGAUUAUGCACGAGCAAUCAAAAUCUCACCGAAAGGAAUCGGGAUACGAAUGCCAAUAAUUUCAGUUAGGGAUACUCACAAUAAUAAUCAACUAUUCCUUAAAAAAUCAAAUAUUCCAAUCACAGUUUCACAUAGCCACAUAUAAGAAUGGAUCAUACAAAUCUGUACUAUUCAGUUUCACAUUACCAUAAUAAUUAAAGAAUUAGUAAAAAUCAUACUCUGCAUCUUCCAAUGUGACGUCACAUUUGCUGGCUUUUCUACCUUUGAAGUCCACCCAUUCUAUUGUAAUUGUGUCGUUCUUGACCUCCGAGAAUAUCUGCAAGUAGUAUAAUUUAUAUUUUAAUAAAUAUGGCAUGAACAUGUAAAAUUUAAUAUAUAGAUCAUUAUUUAAGAAAAUUAUUCUUACCCAAAACAAACAUGCUAUCAUGCGAUUGUAUUUCCUUGAAAGGUACAAAUUGGAAUCCAUCUUUCACAAUUUCCACAAACUCCUUAGGUUCCGACACAUUAGUAGCAAGGCCAAAGCCGAUCCUACAUUGAUGAUUGAUUUUGGCAUAUUGAAGGCUUGUAUUAUUUUUGAUAGCUUGAAAGUUUUCAAAAACAUAAAUUUGGCCCUCUUUUAGUAGAUUUAAAAAAUUGCUUUUCAACCCCGUAGAGAUUGUAGCUUGAAUUUUGUCACCCUGCACAUAAAAAAAUUAUGUAUAGACUACAUAGAUAAAGUAUGAGCUAAAAAAAUAACCAAUAAUGAACACUUACCAUUUCAUCCACUACAAUCAUCUCAAUUCAUUCCUUUCCUGUUAUGUCCUUUUGAAUCCACAAUCGAAGUAUCCUGACCACCACAAGCUUAUUUCUUGUGUUAUCAUUUAUGGCAUUCAAUUGAAUCUUCUUUCUUGAUGUUGACAUCUCCUUGUGUUAUAAUAAAUGAAUGCAAUACGUUUAGAAUAUAGAACAAGGCAGUAUCAGGCAGUCAAAAGAAAAUAUAUGUUACAGAGUCAAAUUACAGAAGCUCAAGCACACAAUUGCAGGUAUGAUCAGAACAUACAUGCAUAAAAAUAAAAGAAUAGCUGUAUAAGAUGAAGGACAAACCAACAACAUGACUACUCCACUAUGAAGGGCUUAGGACCAGAUCUGACCCAGCAAAUGGCAGAGCAGAUGAUAUAAUAUGUUGGUUUGCAGAAUGAUACAACCUACUUUGGUGAUUCGAUUUCCAUUAACAAAAAUCAUAAUAUAGUCAUCCUUUUGAAGCAAACCGUUGAAUAAAAUGACAUCAAUCCAGGAAGAUAUUUUUUGGCAUCAAAAUAGCAUCAUUUUUAGUACCAACUAUAAGCAAAGAAAAAUAAUAUCAGAUAGCCCAAAAGAAUUAUCCAUGCAACACAACUACAAUUUCGAACACAAUAAGAAUUUUAUGGCAAAUAUCAGAAUUCGGGGUUGAAAAUAAAUUAGAAUAAUAAUUAAAUAAAAAUGCUGAUCGAAUUCGGCUCAUAAGGGAUCUGCUACUUGGAGAGUUUACCUGUUUGUGUGAGACUCUCCUUUCACUUGUGAGAGCCCGGGGUGGCUGCCUUGUUCGUCGAGGCAGAGGAGUCUCCGACGAGGCACAGGGACAGUGGCGAGUCUUCAGGAAGGGGAGGCAAGGUUGAACGAUUGCGAAUUAAAGCAAUCACAUAGAGUUAAUUAACAAAAUCUAAACCAAAAAACUGGACAAUAUAAAUAAAAGGUGAAUCGCAGACGAAGGGUACCGCAGCUAUGAAUCGGAUAACAGGAUGUGGCGUUAAUAAUUCUAUCAAAUGAAUUUAUAGAUAAAAAUCUAGGGUUUAAGUUUCCUUUGAUAAAAUUCUUUCCAAAAAAAUUUCUUUCUAAACUUUACAAUCAUUCUAUAUUUAAAUAGUUUGCAGCAACCGAAAAUUCAAAGCAUGAUAUGAUUUGCUAUUUUUGUUAAAUAACAAAAUAAAAAACUUACCAUAGCCGGACGUGGUCUUGUACCCUUCGCGACCGCCGGAAUCUGUAGGUAGGGGGGAAGUCGGGAGGGCAGAUCGCCGGGGGGAUGGAUACUUACAUUUCCUAAUUGAAUACUUACCAUGGCGAGGUGGCGGACUGUGUCGAUCUCGACGGUGGCCGGCGCGGCGAAGCGAAUCGCAGCGGGAGGCAGAAUGAAGAAAUUGGUGGAGUGGGAGGCAGAUCGGAGCAGAUCUCUGGCGAUUGCGGCAGCGGCGGUGACGCGAAUCGCGACGGAAGAGAGGGAGAAAUUGCUACGCGGAGACAGGAAGAAGGGGCCGCGGUGGCAGAUCGGAGUAGAUCUCUGGCGAUUGCGGCAGCGGCGGUGACGCGAAUCGCGGCGGAAGAGAGGGAGAAAUUGCUACGCGGAAACAGGAAGGAGGGGCCACGGUGCCGAGUUGGGGCCGGAGUAAUCGCCGCGGGAGAGGGGAGAGGCUGGUGUGGAGCUGCAGAAAUAAUAGAUAAACGAAGGGGAGGGAUUCACGGCGGAGGAAGGAGGGGCGGCGCUGAUUCAGACGGGGGAGGGGAGAGUAGUGUGGAGACGGGGGUGGUUGAGGGGAAUUGAAUUUGGGGAGGAGAGAUACUUAAUUUUGUGUUUUAAGAAUUAAAGUAAGAUAUACCAUGUAGGAUAUAUUUUGCCACAUAGGAUGACUAAUAUUAUGCCAGAAGCUCUAGAAUUGCAGGGAUUUUAAAUCUUGAAUUCUUAGAUAGGCCACGUAGGACCCCGGAUUAAGGAGAGCGCAAGAUUCCUUAAUCGUAGUAUAUAUUUG